This 1275-nucleotide long non-coding RNA is filed under the name Papio anubis (olive baboon). Its description in RNAcentral is "lncRNA (ENSPANG00000042843.1)". Lineage: Eukaryota; Metazoa; Chordata; Mammalia; Primates; Cercopithecidae. The record is from RNAcentral.
CCCGACCCGCCGCUCCCCGCCCCGCGGCCCCCGCCCCGGGCUCCUGGGACCCGGUCAGAGCCUGGGGGAGCACCGGUUCCCCGGCACCAUUUUCAGCCUCGCGGCCACCGGCCCCUCGAACCCCAGCGUUCCACCGCGAGCUCGUCGCUCCCCCGGGCGCCCCAACCCCCCGAUUCCCGUCAGCACGCCCCGGGCCGCCCGUCCCCGGUCAACUGCCCGAGCCGAGCCCGACGCGUCGGUGGCCCCUCGGAGCCGCUCCCCUCGGGUCCCGGCGCUGGCCCCUCGGCGCCCAGGGCCGCGACCCCGCAGUCCCCGAGCUCCCGAGGGCCCGGAGCUCGACGCCGCUGCAGCCCCUCCUCCGCCGCCUGGGCCCGGGGCUCCUGUCUCCUUGCCAACCCCGCCCGGCGCCCCGAGAUACUUACGGGCUGCUUCGGGGCGGCUUGGACCACAGACCCGCGGCUGGGCGGGGAGCAGCGCGGCAGGGCGGGGGCGCGGGAGGGUCGGGAGCGGCGAGCUUGCCGAGUGCAAGACGUCGCCGCUGCGGGGCUGAGGGCAGAGGACGGAGGCCUCGGGCGGGCCUUGGGAGCUCGCCGAUGGUGGCUCGGGGUGGCGGGCACGGGGGUCAGACGAGCGCGCUCACUUCUCCACACAGCCCGGUGCCCGGCCCAGCGUCCCCGUAGUGCGCCCGCUCCACGCCGGGCCAGAGCUUCGCUCCUUCUGCCGCGGCGCGCGCCCCGCCUCUCGUUUUAUGGCUUCCUCCCCGCCCCCAUCCCCCUCCGUCGGGGUGCGCGCGCCCGCCAAGCGUCACACAGCUCCGGCGGCGCAGCCAUUCCCCGCGCUCCCCGCCCCGCACCCCGGUCCCCCGCCGGCCGGCUCCGCCCCUGCCCUGCCCCCCGACGCCAUUGGCCAAGUCCCGCCUGCCCCUGUCCCGACGCGCGGUGGACGCAGGGGUGGGGAAGCCGCACCCUCCGGGCUCCAGGAGGGCCAAUGAACCGACAAUCGGAGCACUGGGGACGGAAUGAAGAGAACGUUUGGAAAGAGACUAUGGGGGGAGACGUGCCAAAAAGAAAGGGGUGGGGUAGGGCGGCUGACGCCCGGUUUAGGCAGAGGGCGCCGGGCAGACGGGGAGGAGGGCGAAGCCGGUGGCGAAGCGGCCGAGGAGAACCGGGGUUGGAGGAGCCCAGGACUCUGGGAGGGCGGCAAGGGUACCCAGAAAAUGCCCUUUCCGCGUGGGGCUGCAGCCAAGGAGGAUCCCGCUCGUGGAAUAGCUACUAA